Molecule: ribosomal RNA, 545 nt
Filed under: uncultured Methanobacteriales archaeon
Lineage: Archaea; Methanobacteriati; Methanobacteriota; Methanobacteria; Methanobacteriales
Description: bacterial SSU rRNA
Rfam family: Archaeal small subunit ribosomal RNA
Source: RNAcentral
GCGCGAAACCUCCGCAAUGUGAGAAAUCGCGACGGGGGGAUCCCAAGUGCCAUUCUUAACGGGAUGGCUUUUCAUUAGUGUAAAGAGCUUUUGGAAUAAGAGCUGGGCAAGACCGGUGCCAGCCGCCGCGGUAACACCGGCAGCUCUAGUGGUAGCAGUUUUUAUUGGGCCUAAAGCGUCCGUAGCCGGUUUAAUAAGUCUCUGGUGAAAUCCUGCAGCUUAACUGUGGGAAUUGCUGGAGAUACUAUUAGACUUGAGAUCGGGAGAGGUUAGAGGUACUCCCAGGGUAGAGGUGAAAUUCUGUAAUCCUGGGAGGACCGCCUGUUGCGAAGGCGUCUGACUGGAACGAUUCUGACGGUGAGGGACGAAAGCUAGGGGCGCGAACCGGAUUAGAUACCGGGUAGUCCGUAGCUGUAAACGAUGCGGACUUGGUGUUGGGGUGGCGUUUGAGCUGUCCCAGUGCCGAAGGGAAGCUGUUAAGUCCGCCGCCUGGGAAGUACGGUCGCAAGACGUGAAACUUAAGGAAUUGGCGGGGGAGCGAACCG